CAGCCGUAAACAAUGUGCGUUAGGUGUGUCGGUAACCACGCGUUACUGAUGCGCCGAAGAGAAAUCGUGAAACGCACCACCUGGGAAGUACGGUCGCAAGGCUGAAACUUAAAGGAAUUGGCGGGGGAGCACCACAACAGGUGGAGCCUGCAGUUUAAUUGGAUUCAACGCCGGACAUCUCACCGGAUAAGACAGCUGAAUGAUUGUCAAUCUGAAGGUUUUACAUGACUAGCUGAGAGGUGGUGCAUGGCGUCAGUGACU
RNAcentral lists this ribosomal RNA (261 nucleotides) under uncultured archaeon. RNAcentral describes it as "partial 16S ribosomal RNA". It matches the Rfam family "Archaeal small subunit ribosomal RNA", at positions 748 to 1008 of the family's 1478-position model. The record is from RNAcentral.